CGAAAGCCUGACGCAGCAACGCCGCGUGAGGGAAAGACGGCCUUCGGGUUGUAAAACCUCUUUCAGGAGGGACGAAGCUUCCGGGGUUUAAUAGCCCACGGGGUGACGGUACCUCCAGAAGAAGCCCCGGCUAACUACGUGCCAGCAGCCGCGGUAAUACGUAGGGGGCAAGCGUUGUCNGGAAUCAUUGGGCGUAAAGCGCGUGUAGGCGGCUUGGUAAGUCUGGUGUGAAAACUUGGGGCUCAACCCCAAGCCUGCACUGGAAACUGCCUCGCUUGAGUUCCGGGAGGGGAGAGCGGAAUUCCUAGUGUAGCGGUGAAAUGCGCAGAUAUUAGGAAGAACACCGGUGGCGAAGGCGGCUCUCUGGAACGGUACUGACGCUGAGACGCGAAAGCGUGGGGAGCGAACAGGAUUAGAUACCCUGGUAGUCCACGCCGUAAACGAUGGGAACUAGGUGUGGGCGGUGUCGACUCCGUCCUGCCGAAGUAACGCAUUAAGU
This 499-nucleotide ribosomal RNA is filed under the name uncultured bacterium. RNAcentral describes it as "bacterial SSU rRNA". It matches the Rfam family "Bacterial small subunit ribosomal RNA", at positions 376 to 865 of the family's 1533-position model. The record is from RNAcentral.